RNAcentral lists this ribosomal RNA (1351 nucleotides) under uncultured bacterium. RNAcentral's name for it is "bacterial SSU rRNA". It matches the Rfam family "Bacterial small subunit ribosomal RNA", at positions 43 to 1399 of the family's 1533-position model. The record is from RNAcentral.
CAGGCUUAACACAUGCAAGUCGAGGGGCAGCACGGAGGGAGCAAUCCUUUCGGUGGCGACCGGCGGAUGGGUGAGUAACACGUAUGUAACCUACCUGUUACAGGGGGAUAACCCGGAGAAAUCCGGACUAAUACCGCAUACGUUCUUUAUUACACAAGUGAUGAAGAAGAAAGUAGCAAUACGGUAACAGAUGGACAUGCGGUCCAUAGUUAGUUGGCGGGGUAACGGCCCACCAAGGCGACGAUGGAUAGGGGUUCUGAGAGGAAGGUCCCCCACAUUGGUACUGAGACACGGACCAAACUCCUACGGGAGGCAGCAGUGAGGAAUAUUGGUCAAUGGGCGCGAGCCUGAACCAGCAACGCCGCGUGAGUGAAGAAGUAUUUCGGUAUGUAAAGCUCUGUCAGCAGGGAAGAUAAUGACGGUACCUGACCAAGAAGCCCCGGCUAACUACGUGCCAGCAGCCGCGGUAAUACGUAGGGGGCAAGCGUUAUCCGGAUUUACUGGGUGUAAAGGGAGCGCAGGCGGCAGGGCAAGUCAGAUGUGAAAGCCCGGGGCUCAACCCCGGGACUGCAUUUGAAACUGUCCGGCUGGAGUGCAGGAGAGGCAGGCGGAAUUCCUAGUGUAGCGGUGAAAUGCGUAGAUAUUAGGAAGAACACCAGUGGCGAAGGCGGCUUACUGGACGGUAACUGACGUUGAGGCUCGAAGGCGUGGGGAGCAAACAGGAUUUAGAUACCCUGGUAGUCCACGCGGGUAAAGGAUGAUUGCUAGGUGUAGGUGGGUAUGGACCCAUCGGUGCCGCAGCUAACGCAGUAAGCAAUCCACCCUGGGGAGUACGUUCGCAAGAAUGAAACUCAAAGGGAAUUGACGGGGACCCGCACAAGCGGUGGAGCAUGUGGUUUAAUUCGAAGCAACGCGAAGAACCUUACCAAGUCUUGACAUCUGGAUGACAGAGCAUGUAAAGUGUUUUCUCUUCGGAGCAUCCAAGACAGGUGGUGCAUGGUUGUCGUCAGCUCGUGUCGUGAGAUGUUGGGUUAAGUCCCGCAACGAGCGCAACCCUUAUUCCUAGUAGCCAGCGGAUAAAGCCGGGCACUCUAGGGAGACUGCCGGGGAUAACCCGGAGGAAGGUGGGGAUGACGUCAAAUCAUCAUGCCCCUUAUGAUUUGGGCUACACACGUGCUACAAUGGCGUAAACAAAGGGAAGCGAACCUGCGAGGGGGAGCGAAACCCAAAAAUAACGUCCCAGUUCGGACUGCAGUCUGCAACCCGACUGCACGAAGCUGGAAUCACUAGUAAUCGCGGAUCAGAAUGCCGCGGUGAAUACGUUCCCGGGUCUUGCACACAAGGCCCGUCA